AUUUUUGGGUUUGGGAGGGUAAAAUACCGGCCCACGAUCGAAUCCCGAAAGUUACCGGAUGGGCUGUUUACUUCUCUGGUUUUUUUGGGUAACAUCUCGGCCCAUCCCAGAUCUUCCCGACCCGGUAAGCUGCACGCUCCGGUUUUCUCAGCCACGAGGUCGACCCCGUGUUUUCGGUCGUGAAAAGGGGAACGAAGCGACGGAGGCAACGCAACGGCGGCGAUAGGCGGCGGGGAAAGGCGACACGGCGGCGGGGAAAGAACUAGCAGAUCAAGACGGCGCCGACGAGAUCCUCCUCCGGCGACUGGUCCUGCUGGAGGUCCUCUGGCGGCGGCGCGGUUUCCGGAAUUCGGUGGCAAUGACUUCUAAUGUUCUUCAAACUGCAUGACACUGAGUUUAUGGCGGCGGUUGCUCAUCUGUUCGGUCGACACUUAUUUAUGUGUGUUGGGUCGACAUUUAUUUAUGUGUGUGUUCUUGUUCGAGAAGAUUGCAUAACAUAAUUGCAUGACACCGAGUUUAUGUUAAAGACAUGGUUUUUAAUUUA
Long non-coding RNA from Lolium perenne, 544 nucleotides. RefSeq lists it as uncharacterized. Lineage: Eukaryota; Viridiplantae; Streptophyta; Magnoliopsida; Poales; Poaceae. The record is from RefSeq and is a predicted model, not a curated record.